Long non-coding RNA from Silurus meridionalis, 442 nucleotides. RefSeq lists it as uncharacterized. The transcript has 3 exons. Lineage: Eukaryota; Metazoa; Chordata; Actinopteri; Siluriformes; Siluridae. The record is from RefSeq and is a predicted model, not a curated record.
GGAGAGGUUGUUUGGUUUGGAGGAAGUAUGACCGUCUUCUUUUUUCUCCUCCUACACUUUAGAGGGUCAUGACACCGAGCUCAUGCGCAGUGGAGCGAGAUGCCAUCUUUGGAGUUGAGCGGCCACUGACGGGAGGUGAAGAGCUGGCAAGGGAGAGGGCAGUGACGGAGGUGGGGAUGGUGGACCGUGGGCGCAGCGUGACAUUCAGUCCAUCCAUGCUACCGCUGUUCACACGGCUCUCAAUCUCAUCAGCCCGAAGCUCAGCUGAUUCUCGCUCUACCUGGAUCAUUCUGCAGCAAAUACCACUUUCCAACUGCUUCUAGUCAUACCUGAUCUCCUCGUUGAUGGCAUCCAAUUGCUCCUGCAACAUUAGGGCAAGCGUCUGAGCAUCCGAGUGACCACUGGGAGACAGCAUGUCCCCUGAGCUAAAGACGGUGUCACG